GGCAAAAUAUCCUUACAUACUUACAGCCAACUGUAAUAUUCAAGGAUUCCAAGAUCUUCCCUUGCACAAAGGAGAAAUCUGCAGCCCUGGCUCAUCUAAGGCCACACAGAGACUUCUGAGUGAUGGCAUCUGAAAGGCGCUGGUCAGCCCUGAACUCCCCUGAUCUCCCUGAAGUAUGUGACGAUUGGCCUGUCCUUUCUGGAUGUUCUCUCAAUGCAAAGCCUUCUGGGUCUCGCCCCUGCUCCAACACCCACCCCAUGGCACGAGCCUCCAGGAAAAUUAGACGCACAGAGUCAACUCUAACCACAGAGGCAUGGAAUGGAAUUUCUGCUGCUGCCUUCCCAGAAAGGUACCCCUUUGCUUCCUGGGGAGUUCCUUCAAAGAGCCGCUACCCUCCUGGUCUCAUCAUUGGGAAUCACUCAGUGGGUGUCCAGAUCAGACUGGUCACACUGCUGCACUGUCCUGCUUGACCGGGAAGGAAACUUACUUUCUCAAUUUAUUUUAAAGAGGGCAGUCCCUCACCAGCCUCGCCAUUCCUGUAGAUGCCUUCCAGGCAGCAAAUGCCAGUGGGCAGUGAGCAUAUCAGCUACUCCUUGCUUGAUGCCAACAAGAAAUUUACAACCUGCUUGGUUCUGCCAGCUGGCCCCGUACUGCUCCUGGGCAGGGAAUGCUCUCCCCAGUGCUCCGUCCCAUCUGCUAGGCCCCCAGCUCUGCCUGCCUUGCCCCAGAAGACCUGGCCAGGUGGCCCUUGUCUCUGAAGACUUCCUGGACUCCAUGAGUGAGAGAGGAUGUCCAGGUGGAAUGAGGGUCCCCAGUCAGCCCCUAAGCGCAAGAGCCCUUCCCAUCAAAGAGGGGAGCCACACAGCAGGUGCGUAUGAGGAAGAAAUGGUCCUGGCCAGCCUGACCUCAUUGCCAAGAGUGGAGAAGACCAAUGCUGUCUUUAGGGAGAACUUCCUUUGUGUCACCAGGGCUGGAAAAUACGGUCCCAUUUUAAUCUCAUGACAUCCUGAGUAGGAGCUGUGCUCUCAUUUUUCAGAUAACAACACCGAGGCUCAGGGAAGUUAGACAACUUGUCUAGGUUUAUCACCAGACCAGAGCCCGCUCCCAGGUGUCUCUCCUCUCCAGGCAGGUCCUUCUGAGUUGUUUCUCUGCUUUCCCUCCUCCACCCAUCCCUGCAUCCCUCCAUUCACCAUCCCUACAUUCCUCAGCCAUUUAUCUCUCCCUCCUUCCCUCUCUCUUCUCAUCCAUUCAUUCACCAGCUGUCCCUCUAACCAUCCCUCCUUCCCUCACCAUAAUGAGCACAGGGAGCAUUUUCCCCAGAGCAGCAGCCUCCUCUGACCUCACUGCCUCUCCAUUCUCGUGCUUCCCUCUCCAAACUGUUCCUUUCACAAGGGCCUCCAUCCUGCUUGCCCCAUUCUAGUCUCAGGUCUGUUCUACGAAAGCCACAUGGCUUUGCUUAGCAUCUCCAAUAUCAGGGUGGGCAUGGGAUGGGGGGGUACAAAAAGCGAGACAUUAUUUGCAAUGAUUAAUCGUUUCCAGGGAGCCAGAUAUUACUAAUCCAGAUGUUUGGCUUAAAUAUAUAUUUUUUUCUAGUUGAUCCCAGUUACAGCAGGGGAAAAGUGCCCCAGCUUUGGACCCAAACAGACCUGGAUUCAUAUUGUUUUACCAAUUUCUGGAUAAAUGACUUUAGGCAGAUUUCUUGACCUUGACCCACAGCAGCCUCAGUUCCCUCACCUAGAAAUGGUCAAUAAUAGUAUUUACCCCCCAGGUGAAGCUUAAAAUGGGUGAUUGUG
Molecule: long non-coding RNA, 1793 nt
Organism: Nycticebus coucang (slow loris)
Lineage: Eukaryota; Metazoa; Chordata; Mammalia; Primates; Lorisidae
Exons: 3
Source: RefSeq, a predicted model, not a curated record